AAAGUCUGACCUGCCCAAUGAAGUUAAAAUUUAAAUGGCCGCGAUAUUUUGAUCGUGCAAAGGUAGCAUAAUAAUUAGUUUUUUAAUUAAGAACUGGAAUGAAUGGUCUCACGAGAAAAAGACUGUCUCAAUUUAAUUUAAAUUAGAAUUUUAUUUUUAAGUUAAAAAGCUUAAAUAAUUUUAAAAGACGAGAAGACCCUAUAGAGUUUUAUAUAUUUUAAUUAUUUUAAAAUUAAAGAAUUAUUUAUUUAAUUUAAUUAUAAAUGAUAUUUGGUUGGGGUGAUUGAAAAAUUUAAUAAACUUUUUUUAAUAAAAAUCAUUAAUUUAUGAUUAAUUGAGCCA
This 342-nucleotide ribosomal RNA is filed under the name Epirinus silvestris. RNAcentral's name for it is "partial 16S ribosomal RNA". The record is from RNAcentral. Lineage: Eukaryota; Metazoa; Arthropoda; Insecta; Coleoptera; Scarabaeidae.